This 839-nucleotide ribosomal RNA is filed under the name uncultured archaeon. RNAcentral describes it as "bacterial SSU rRNA". The stretch from base 3 to 744 matches the Rfam family "Archaeal small subunit ribosomal RNA", at positions 4 to 828 of the family's 1478-position model. The record is from RNAcentral.
UUCCGGUUGAUCCUGCCGGACCCGACUGCUAUCAGAGUGAGAUUAAGCCAUGCGAGUUAACGUAGCAAUACGUGGCGCACGGCUCAGUAACACGUAGUCAACAUGCCCAGAGGACGUGGAUAACCUCGGGAAACUGAGUCUAAACCGCGAUAAGUGAGGAUUUCUGGAAUGGUUCCUGACUAAAAUCUAUAUGGCCUCUGGAUUGGACUGCGGCCGAUCAGGCUGUUGGUGAGGUAAUGGCCCACCAAACCUGUAACCGGUACGGGCUCUGAGAGGAGGAGCCCGGAGAUGGGCACUGAGACAAGGGCCCAGGCCCUAUGGGGCGCGGCAGGCGCGAAACCUCUGCAAUAGGCGAAAGCCUGACAGGGUUACUCUGAGUGACUUUCGCUAAGAAAGUCUUUUGGCACCUCUAAAAAGGGUGCAGAAUAAGGGUGGGGAAGUCUGGUGUCAGCGGCGCGGUAAUACCAGCCACCCCGGAGUGGUCGGGGACAAUUAUUGGGGCCUAAAGCAUCCGUAGCCGGUUCUGAAAGUCCUCGUUAAAUCCAGCCGGCUAACAAAAUGGGCGCGGGGAAACUACAAGCUGGAGGCGGGGAAGCAGGCGUACUCCGUGGGUAGGGGUAAAAUCGCUGAUCCUUGAAAACACCAUGGCAAAGGGUUGCAAAAGCUCAACGGUGAGGAUAAAACUGGGACAACCGAUAUACCGGUAUCACCUUACAUGAACUGGAGGUGCUCCCCCCCCCCGCCCGAACCGAAUCCCGGGGAAUCGCCAACAACAUAAAAUGGGGGACCAAGGUAUCUGUUAUUACACGGAUAUAUUCGGCGUGCCAUAGAACCAGCGG